RNAcentral lists this unclassified non-coding RNA (157 nucleotides) under uncultured Sporormiaceae. RNAcentral's name for it is "sequence contains ITS2". The record is from RNAcentral. Lineage: Eukaryota; Fungi; Ascomycota; Dothideomycetes; Pleosporales; Sporormiaceae.
AACCCUUCAAGCUUUGCUUGGUGUUGGGCGUCUUUGUCCCCGCCUCGGCGUGGGGACUCGCCUUAAAAACAUCGGCGUCGGUAGUUUGCCAGCCUAGAGCGCAGCAGAGUUCGCGUCUCGAAGCUUGGCCAUCCGCCAGCCGCAACCACACCCCAAA